AGUGAACGCUGGCGGCGUGCCUAACACAUGCAAGUCGAACGAUGAUAGGAAGCUUGCUUCCUUGAUUAGUGGCGCACGGGUGAGUAAUGCAUAGAUAAUGUGCCCCUUAGUUCGGGAUAGCCACUGGAAACGGUGAUUAAUACCGGAUACUCCUUCUUACUAUAAGGUAAGUCGGGAAAGUUUUUCGCUAAGGGAUCAGUCUAUGUUCCAUCAGGUAGUUGGUUAGGUAAUGGCUCACCAAGCCUAUGACGGAUAUCUGGUUUGAGAGGAUGAUCAGACACACUGGAACUGAGACACGGUCCAGACUCCUACGGGUGGCAG
This 321-nucleotide ribosomal RNA is filed under the name uncultured Pseudomonadota bacterium. RNAcentral describes it as "bacterial SSU rRNA". It matches the Rfam family "Bacterial small subunit ribosomal RNA", at positions 29 to 351 of the family's 1533-position model. Lineage: Bacteria; Pseudomonadati; Pseudomonadota. The record is from RNAcentral.